GCAUCCUUAGCUCAGUUGGAUAGAGCAGCAGCCUUCUAAGCUGAUGGUCACAGGUUCGAGUCCUGUAGGAUGUA
Molecule: transfer RNA, 74 nt
Filed under: Pharyngomonas kirbyi
Lineage: Eukaryota; Heterolobosea; Pharyngomonadea; Pharyngomonadida; Pharyngomonadidae
Description: tRNA-Arg
Rfam family: tRNA
About the family: Transfer RNA (tRNA) molecules are approximately 80 nucleotides in length. Their secondary structure includes four short double-helical elements and three loops (D, anti-codon, and T loops).
Source: RNAcentral